RNAcentral lists this ribosomal RNA (497 nucleotides) under uncultured bacterium. Its description in RNAcentral is "partial 16S ribosomal RNA". It matches the Rfam family "Bacterial small subunit ribosomal RNA", at positions 28 to 507 of the family's 1533-position model. The record is from RNAcentral.
GAUGGACGCUGGCGGCGUGCCUAAUACAUGCAAGUAGAACGCUGAAGGAAGGAGCUUGCUCUUUCCGGAUGAGUUGCGAACGGGUGAGUAACGCGUAGGUAACCUGCCUGGUAGCGGGGGAUAACUAUUGGAAACGAUAGCUAAUACCGCAUAACAGUAGAUGUUGCAUGACAACUAUUUGAAAGGGGCAAUUGCUCCACUACCAGAUGGACCUGCGUUGUAUUAGCUAGUUGGUGAGGUAACGGCUCACCAAGGCGACGAUACAUAGCCGACCUGAGAGGGUGAUCGGCCACACUGGGACUGAGACACGGCCCAGACUCCUACGGGAGGCAGCAGUAGGGAAUCUUCGGCAAUGGACGGAAGUCUGACCGAGCAACGCCGCGUGAGUGAAGAAGGUUUUCGGAUCGUAAAGCUCUGUUGUAAGAGAAGAAUGAGUGUGAGAGUGGAAAGUUCACACUGUGACGGUAUCUUACCAGAAAGGGACGGCUAACUACGUG